CGAACUCACAACCACAUGUAUACCAGGCGAGGUAGUUAAUAUCUCGCCACCAUGGCGUUUGCGUUGCAGGUUAAAAAACAAUAUAACCUUAUUGUUGUAGAGUAAAAUGUAGAGUUCAAAUGUUCGUGACUGAAUCUAAAUAAUUGUAGAGUUAACUAAUCUAUGUCCAGUAAAUUAGUUACAUAAUAGAGUUUAUAUUUGGAUUUAAAAAUAUAAUCGCAAUGGACUAUUUAAGUGAAUGUGAAGGGAAAUCAUUGAAGAAAAACGAUUUAUAUUACAUUUUUAAUAAAACCAAUCAUGCAAAUUAGGAAUUUUCAUUGUAUUUUAAUUAAUCCAUUAUGAAAAUAUGUCCAUUUUGUCACGGUUAGUUUCAAAAUGAUGGGAAGUGAGUUAUUGAUUUUUUAUUUUAAGCUGAAGCAAAAUAGCAAUUUAGUAAUGUGCUAAAUAUGAAACAAGUCCACGAAUCAAUUUUAGCGAACACGUUCAUUUCAUUAUAAUUUCCCAGGGUGAACCGUUUUUGCUUUGAUGAAUUUAAAUCGAAGAGAACGUUUGCCAUGAAAGAAGCGAAUUGUAACAUUUUUGUAAUAUACUGUAGAAAGCUCAGAUUGGUGGGACGUGUCAGUCUGUAUGCCUUCACUUCUGACACAACCGCAGGUGGCUGUUUGUCACCUUUUACUUUCACACAUUCUGACCCUGGUUUAGUAAAGACUGGGUCACCCUUGUGUGUGCUGUUUCAUCGCCCUGUCUCCUCCAAAAUGGGAUUUCAACCCACGGCCUUGUGUUUUGUGGCCGCUCAAAUCACUAUUAAUCUACCUUCCGUUCUCACGAAGCACAAUGAUUUUCAGCGCUGGGUGAUUUCCAUUGUACAAUGCCAGGCUGUGUGGCUUCACACCAAAGGUGAAUGGUGCCAUUAUUACAGGCAAGCCAUAUUCUGGACCAUAAAAUGGCCCACAUUUGACAAAAGUAAAAACAUUCCAAAGGACAUCUGUGUUUGGACAUUUCCUUACCUCAUUUCACCCCUUUUAACAGGGAGGCUUGCUGAAUAUCUGAAACCCACUGAGUUAAUAAGUAACCCGUUCACCUGAUUUUGCUUUCAUAUUUGAUAUUGAAAUAGAUUUCGCUUUAAUUCGGCUAAAUCAUAAAAAAAAAUGUCAUCAGAGUCUGGAAUGUCUGCCUCGCGUUUAGGUAUUGCCAAACUCAAUCGAAACGAAGACUAUCCGUUCAUAUUUAAUACAUCGAAAACAAUGUUCUGGCGACUGCACAGCAAGCAAGGCAAUUUGUGGUUAUCUAUUUAGACUUUGCCGAUAAUUACAUCCAAUACUACAACGUUGUAGUUUACAUGAGUGUGGAAGCAGCCGUAUGUUUUCCUCGGAAUGAUAAAGCGAUGGCCCAAAUUUGGGCAGUACAAUCGGUCCCUGACCUUAAAAUGUGUUUGCAUUAAAUUUUUACUCUUUCAUUUGUUCACUAAAAUUGCCAAACGCGCUGACCCUGUGCAUGAAAUGAAUAUGCCGUGGCCUCUCUGUUUAUGUUCCUGCCAGCGACACAUUCAAUUCAUGGAACUGUAUACGUUUUCCUUCGUAUGAAUGUAUUGAAUAAGUAAACAAAACAUCGAGCUAAAGGGCAAAAGAAUCACAAUAUGGCAAAUACGACUUUUAAAACAAAAAUCCCUUAACAUGUUAUUGAUGCUAAUAUAAACAGCUAAAUGUUUAACACGGUUCCUUGUAAAUUAAAAUGUUGUUAUACCGCAUUGUGCAACAUUACAUGUAACCCAGAAACAGAUUAAAAAAAAAACGACGAUUAAAAUAUAAAUGUAAGCAAAACACAAAAUGAAUCAGAAUAUGUAUUUACGGGGGGAAUCCGGUGAGCUUGUGGAGCUCUUAUUCACAGAUUUCUAGUAGGCUUGCGUUCUCAACAACUCUAGUCCAAGUCAGCAGCAGGUGGCACUCACGCAUUACUUUACAAUUUAUAUUUGCCGUAAAACCAAGCAUCAACUUCUUACGUCCGGAACGUACAACGCCGAAAAGUGUUCACAUCCUGCCCACGUUACAAUUUCAUUACUGUUAUUCAUAUUAUUUAUGAAUUUAGUUGUGGCAGGGCCCUUUGGCUGCCUAUGUAAGCCCGGCAUGAUGAAUUAUUAACAAACUUAGCCGCGGCACGUCACCGUGCUUUGUGUGUGUGCCGUUGUUAUGGAGACGAGCCAGCCGACAGAGAAAUUUUUUAAAAAAAUCACGUAUCGUCCCAUACAGUUUUAACUUACGUGCGGCCCGGAUUCGAUCGCCCUAUAGUUUAUAGCGCGCACGGGAUUGUGUUUGAAGUUGCGCGCUGUCUUCGGAAGCCGGGUGACAUGGACAUGACGGUGUCGGAUGCACCGGGGAGAGUGGCUCGGGAGAAGCACACGUGGGAGUUCAUGCGGAUCUACCCGAGCAUCUUCCGAAAGCUGAUGCCUCCAGCUCCCAGGAUUCCGAGGGGCACAGAACAGCAACGACACGUGAGACCGUGUGGGACACCGUCAACGAGUGCAUCCUGACUGGCCUCGACGAGGACUCCCGGGCUCUUUCCUCCUCCACGCUGCUGAUGAAGCAUCCGUCACCUGGGCCUCUACUGCCCGUGUUGCGGCGAACGAGACGAGAAAUGCAAGCGCCUGCCUCGCGUCUAGCCGAGUUGUAUGCAGCCUUCGGAACGACGCGGACAAUUUGUCAAGGUGAUACUGAUGUCUACACAAGCCUCCGCAGCUCGGGGAAAAUUUUUUUUUUAUUCUAAAUGUUUUACCGGGCAUGGCGAGAGACGUUACAGUUGACUGUUUUGACACGAUGGCUGUACAGAAAUGACCACGGUAUUGGAGGGGCUGGAACAAUGCUCUGCGCUUAGAAAUUGUAAAUGUGUGUACUUUUUGUGGUAUUAAUACGUACAUUUUUGCAAAAUUUCCUGUGAAAAUCAACGUAACGCAAGGAAGCAGAGGAAACAUUUGAAAGUCACUCGUCAUCUAGCAUGGAGAGCUUUGGUGUACCAUGUCCUUAAAGGGCUGUUGAAUUCCUACACUGAACAUGCUUCAAUACACCUCUGCAGGACACGCCGCCUUGUGCGAACAUGGGGCCACACACGACUUAGCCAGAUUUAUUUCCUUUGCAGUUAACCAUUGCAGAAUUCUGCAUAAUGUAAAUACAAGGCAUUUCUCUAAGUGGACCACACUGUGGGUACAGCAUUCCACAAAGCAUUCACUUUCAUGUGGCACAAGCUUACCAUCCUGGCCAUUACUAACCAUGUACCAUUGCAAAAAUGUCAAACACCUCCACUAAUAUGGCAUUUAAAAAUCACACCUUCACUGAUUUGCAGAAUCUGUCUGUGCUUUCAGUUGGUACAGUGAAACAAUUAUAUUGUCACAAAAAUUAACUGAACUUCAAGUUUUCAAACGUUCUCUGCAUUCCCCAAUCUGGAACUCCGGGGUAUCUAAUUUUCGACGACUUGGAUAGCUCUGAUCAACAUGACCCUUCAAAUAAUAUAGUGCCUGACUAAAUUAAAUUGUGCGAGACAGUAAAUCUGGCGGUGUCUCACACCUACGAUUUGUGGAAUAUGGCAUGUUUUAUAGGGGUGUUUCAACUGUACAUUAUUUUUUCACGAGAUUUAUUUUUUUACCGAUAUUAAACACAAAAUAAAUUGCACCACACCCUCAAUGAACGUGAACAGCUGUGUGUCGUUGGUUUAACGACUGUCAAAACACCACAGUUUUUCCACACCACUGAACAUUCCGGCACGGGGGUGUAUGCUACAGUGUAGAUAAACAAAACAAAUGAAUAAAUUGUCGUAAUUGACUAUCUGAUUUAAUAAUUUUCCUGCGAUUUCCCAUUUGUUCUCAUUUGUCAUGCCAGGAAAUUGGCCACAUAAUUUUCAACCUCAUGCUACCCGUCAAGCUAUGGCCGAGCCAUCGAUUUUAUGAUUUGAUUAAUUCUUUCGAGUCCUCGUACGUACGUAAACAAUCCCUCAGGUCUAAUGGUCUUGCCCUGUCAAAAUAACACAGGUCAAGUAACAAACUGUGCCGUCUCUGUCUCCGCCCUAGGAUGACGACGGUGGCGGUGGUGUAUCUGAAAACGAUUAAACAUGGGGAACGUAAAGUGUAAGAAACCCUCCGUCAUUUUAGGAUCAUCAAAUAAAGGAGGAUGCUGCCUAGGUCUAACGGUUAGCAUGCUGUGCUUGCAAUACAAAGCUUGCAAUACAAAGCUUGCCUGUUUGAUCUACUGACGUGGCAUUUAAACUGCGAAGCAACGGUCGAGAUUCUUCAAUCUCCUUGUCUCUGUUGGCCCAAUUCCUACGCCACAGUGAGCCCAUCGGUAGUUGCACGUCGUGGGAUGAAGUGUGGGUUACCUCUACAUCUUUAGAGACAUAUGGCCAGUAUGGAAGAGUAGGCCGAGCUCUGUAUGGUUUCCUCUAGCGGUGAGGCCCUUCUCCCAGCAGUGACAUGACCAAGCAUUUGCAGGGCUGCGCCGUUAUUACCGACUUUUUUUUAACAAACAGAGGACAUGCGGCGUGGCAAAACUUAAUUCGUUACUUGAGGCGAGACUCAUCAAUUUCAUGCCAAAAGCAUAUUUUAAAUAUAGAGGCUAACAGUGUAAUAAUGCUGCUUUACUAGGAAGCCAAUUAUGGGAAACUGUCGGAAUUCUUAAUGGUGGUGGAUUGGGUGGUGUGAUUCAUUUCAGGGUAUUAAUAGUCAUUGGGAGCCACAUUGAUUUAAUUGUGCAUGACGAUUUCACUGGCUUCCCGAAAGACGUAAAAAAAAACACAACGUUGGAAACUUAUCAGAGCACGUCUUUUUUUCUUUGGCCAGCACCGUCCGUUGCAACAUGAACACGAGAUCCAAUCUGCAUCCCAAGCAAAAACCUUCACCUCUCUCGCCACUCCGUCCUGAUUCAUCUUUCUCUUCCGCAACCACUCUCUUCGAUCACUUUGCCUUGGCGAUGCUCGUGGAGGUGGGGCGGGAGCAGCAAAAGUUCGAGGAGGCCACGUGUGUCCGCCAAGACGGCCGCCCCAGGCAGAAAGGCGGAACAGCUCUCGUCGCACCCGGGAAGAGGACAUAAUCCCAGUCCUACGCAAGAGCCCAUUUGAACGGAUUGAGGCGGACCGCCAGGCGGUGUCCCGGGCGCUCCAUUCCUGAGCUGUCCUCCAAGCUGAGCGCUGAUGAGCUCAGGACCUUGAGCUGCGGCAUCACUCUGGAGAGCUGGCCCGCUGGUGUCGCAGGUAAGAACCACAGUGUCACGUGCACCAACCGCACACUCGUGAAUGCAAGCUGCAGUCAUGGGUUAAAAAGCCAUCGUAUCGGUCUGCUUGUCAUGGCUCUUCUCUUCACGGCUAUUGUCUCGUCCUCGCGGCAGCGGCUUGAGGCUAACCAUCGGACACAAAUGGUCACAGCGUCGCGCGUUUUCAGAUGCGCUUCUGUGGCUGUCUGGAACGUUCUCCCUUCUGACAUUAGGAAGCCACUGGAGCUAUGCA
Molecule: non-coding RNA, 5481 nt
Organism: Petromyzon marinus (sea lamprey)
Lineage: Eukaryota; Metazoa; Chordata; Hyperoartia; Petromyzontiformes; Petromyzontidae
Source: RefSeq, a predicted model, not a curated record